GAGAACUGAGAGUUAUAUUGAUGUAAAUUGUGAGUGAAACCUACAAAAAAAGUCCUAAAAUUAUGGGGUGACCAUCCGUUUAGGACCCUCUGAUGCUUAAGUCAGUCGAGGUCUUGAAAACAGAUAGUAAAGAUGAAGAAGUAAAAAGCAAGAAGUGAGAGUUUAAGUCAAAAAAAGAUAGAGAAAACUCUGAUUUUCUUUGAGAAAUCUAGCAGAGUUUUAUCUCUAUUCACUCAGACUUGACUUAUCUUUCGGAGAGCAUCUUGUCUCUCUUUUAUAGAGGGAGCUCACUUAGACCUUAAGUUGUUAGACUGUUAGAGAUCUGUUAGGCUAUUAGAUCGUUGGAGAUCUGUUAGACCGUUAGGUUAUUGUAACAGAAUGGUCAACUAUGCAG
RNAcentral lists this long non-coding RNA (394 nucleotides) under Elaeis guineensis (African oil palm). RNAcentral describes it as "long non-coding RNA (EGUI_LNC029276)". Lineage: Eukaryota; Viridiplantae; Streptophyta; Magnoliopsida; Arecales; Arecaceae. The record is from RNAcentral.